UAGUUAGUGUAUGAUACAAUCCCUCUAUCGUAGAUCCCGACAAGACGGAGGUCAUGGAUAACUCGUCAAACCCCUAUCGUCUGUCAUAUGUCAAGAUUUAUUCGACUUAAGUUCGAGAGUGGAAAACUCCUUUUUCACUAUACAUACUAUCCCGGCCGAGGAUUUACGAACUCAGUCUCAUAAAUCACAUAGGAUCUCUCUUAACCUAUCAAGAUCGAUAGAUUCCAUCUAGAUGCACCCCUACUCCUACAAUGAACCUACUGCAGCCAAUCUGCACCACAAGAACCCAAUUGGCUAGGGCUCAUGUUUAUGUGCUCGU
RNAcentral lists this long non-coding RNA (319 nucleotides) under Phoenix dactylifera (date palm). Its description in RNAcentral is "long non-coding RNA (PDAC_LNC015707)". Lineage: Eukaryota; Viridiplantae; Streptophyta; Magnoliopsida; Arecales; Arecaceae. The record is from RNAcentral.